Molecule: ribosomal RNA, 369 nt
Filed under: Clostridioides difficile
Lineage: Bacteria; Bacillati; Bacillota; Clostridia; Peptostreptococcales; Peptostreptococcaceae
Description: bacterial SSU rRNA
Rfam family: Bacterial small subunit ribosomal RNA
Source: RNAcentral
UGCAUGGUUGUCGUCAGCUCGUGUCGUGAGAUGUUGGGUUAAGUCCCGCAACGAGCGCAACCCUUGUCUUUAGUUGCCAUCAUUAAGUUGGGCACUCUAGAGAGACUGCCAGGGAUAACCUGGAGGAAGGUGGGGAUGACGUCAAAUCAUCAUGCCCCUUAUGCUUAGGGCUACACACGUGCUACAAUGGGUAGUACAGAGGGUUGCCAAGCCGUAAGGUGGAGCUAAUCCCUUAAAGCUACUCUCAGUUCGGAUUGUAGGCUGAAACUCGCCUACAUGAAGCUGGAGUUACUAGUAAUCGCAGAUCAGAAUGCUGCGGUGAAUGCGUUCCCGGGUCUUGUACACACCGCCCGUCACACCACGGAAGUU